GCAGAGAUCAAGGCUCUCAAGGAGAAGCUGC
This 31-nucleotide non-coding RNA is filed under the name Homo sapiens (human). The record is from RNAcentral. Lineage: Eukaryota; Metazoa; Chordata; Mammalia; Primates; Hominidae.